UAGUCCUACGGGAGGCAGCAGUGGGGAAUAUUGGGCAAUGGGCGCAAGCCUGACCCAGCAACGCCGCGUGAAGGAAGAAGGCUUUCGGGUUGUAAACUUCUUUUAAGAGGGAAGAGUAGAAGACGGUACCUCUUGAAUAAGCCACGGCUAACUACGUGCCAGCAGCCGCGGUAAUACGGAGGAUGCGAGCGUCAUCCGGAUUUAUUGGGUUUAAAGGGUGCGUAGGCGGGCUUUUAAGUCAGCGGUAAAAAUUCGGGGCUCAACCCCGUCCGGCCGUUGAAACUGGGGGCCUUGAGUGGGCGAGA
Molecule: ribosomal RNA, 305 nt
Filed under: uncultured bacterium
Lineage: Bacteria
Description: bacterial SSU rRNA
Rfam family: Bacterial small subunit ribosomal RNA
Source: RNAcentral